Molecule: non-coding RNA, 922 nt
Filed under: Limnomedusa macroglossa (rapids frog)
Lineage: Eukaryota; Metazoa; Chordata; Amphibia; Anura; Cycloramphidae
Description: partial 12S ribosomal RNA
Rfam family: Bacterial small subunit ribosomal RNA
Source: RNAcentral
UGGUCCUAGCCUUGAAGUCAGUUUUUACUCAAUAUAUACAUGCAAGUCUCUGCACCCCUGUGAGAACGCCCUUAAAUCCCCGCUAGGGAUAAGGAGCCGGUAUCAGGCGCAAUAAUCUGCCCAAGACACCUAGCUAUGCCACACCCCCAAGGGAAUUCAGCAGUAAUUAACAUUGAAUAUGAGCGCCAGCUUGAUUCAGUUAGAGUAAACAGGGCCGGCUAAUCUGGUGCCAGCCGCCGCGGUUACACCACGUGGCCCAAAUUGACACUUUUCGGCGUAAAGCGUGAUUAAAGUCAUCCUAUAUUGAAGAUUAAUUUAAACUAAGCUGUGACACGCUUGUUAUCAAGAAACUCAAACACGAAAGUUGCUUCAACCCUACCAACUUGAACUCACGACAGCUGGGGUACAAACUGGGAUUAGAUACCCCACUAUGCCCAGCCGUAAACUUUAACCUACACCACCAUCGCCUGGGAACUACGAGCAAAGCUUAAAACCCAAAGGACUUGACGGUACCCCACAUCCACCUAGAGGAGCCUGUCCUGUAAUCGAUAACCCCCGUUAAACCUCACCAUUUUUAGCUUAUCAGCCUGUAUACCUCCGUCGCCAGCUUACCACGUGAGCGAGAUUUAGUGAGCUUAAUGUCCAUACGUCAGUACGUCAGGUCAAGGUGCAGCAAAUAAAAUGGGAAGAGAUGGGCUACACUCUCUAUAAUAGAAGAAACGAAAGACUAAUUAUGAAACCUAGUCAGAAGGCGGAUUUAGUAGUAAAGGGAAACAAGAGUGUUCACUUUAACUUGGCCCUGGGGUGUGUACACACCGCCCGUCACCCUCUUCAAAGGUAAUAGACAGUAUUUAACAAGUUUUAGCUUUUCAGAAGAGGCAAGUCGUAACAUGGUAAGUAUACCGGAAGGUGUGCUUGGAAA